GGGUUGUGAGGUUAAGCGACUAAGCGUACACGGUGGAUGCCCUGGCAGUCAGAGGCGAUGAAGGUCGUGCUAAUCUGCGAUAAGCGUCGGUAAGGUGAUA
This 100-nucleotide ribosomal RNA is filed under the name Escherichia coli. RNAcentral's name for it is "partial 23S ribosomal RNA". It matches the Rfam family "Bacterial large subunit ribosomal RNA", at positions 1 to 91 of the family's 2925-position model. Lineage: Bacteria; Pseudomonadati; Pseudomonadota; Gammaproteobacteria; Enterobacterales; Enterobacteriaceae. The record is from RNAcentral.